This 60-nucleotide ribosomal RNA is filed under the name Russula sp. R9. RNAcentral's name for it is "partial 28S ribosomal RNA". Lineage: Eukaryota; Fungi; Basidiomycota; Agaricomycetes; Russulales; Russulaceae. The record is from RNAcentral.
CCUUGACCUCAAAUCGGGUGAGACUACCCGCUGAACUUAAGCAUAUCAAUAAGCCCAGGA